RNA transcript from Homo sapiens (human), 4279 nucleotides. It is a transcript of the gene named HERC2 pseudogene 3, with no coding region annotated. NCBI's taxonomy places the organism in Eukaryota, Metazoa, Chordata, Mammalia, Primates, Hominidae. The record is from RefSeq and is marked validated. The transcript has 26 exons.
GGCUGAGCCAGCGGCUCUUGGGAGGCUGCGUCCGCGCGCCGGCGGGGCGGGGCGGCCGGGCCCUGCGCGUCAGGCCUGAGACCUGGGAGGAAGCUGGAGAAAAGAUGCCCUCUGAAUCUUUGUGUUUGGCUGCCCAGGCUCGCCUCGACUCCAAAUGGUUGAAAACAGAUAUACAGCUUUUGUCUGGUCCUCUGAGCCCCAGUGAGAGUUUCCUGAGGUACCUCACCCUUCCACAAGACAACAGGCUUGCCAUUGAUCUGCAACAAACGGCGGUUGUUGUCAUGGCCCAUUUAGACCGUCUGGCUACACCCUGUAGAUGCCUCCUCUGUGUAGCUCUCCGACGUCUCAUAAGAGUCAUUUUUUACAGGUCAGAACUGUAGAAAUAAUGAGAAAGUGACACUUGUACGCAUAGCUGAUUUGGAGAACCAUAAUAACGAUGGAGGCUUCUGGACUGUGAUUGACGGGAAAGUGUAUGAUAUAAAGGACUUCCAGACACAGUCGUUAACAGAAAAUAGUAUUCUUGCUCAGUUUGCAGGGGAAGACCCAGUGGUAGCUUUGGAAGCUGCUUUGCAGUUUGAAGACACCCGGGAAUCCAUGCACGCAUUUUGUGUUGGCCAGUAUUUGGAGCCUGACCAAGAAGGCGUCACCAUACCAGAUCUGGGGAGUCUCUCCUCACCUCUGAUAGACACAGAGAGGAAUCUGGGCCUGCUUCUCGGAUUACACGCUUCCUAUUUAGCAAUGAGCACACCGCUGUCUCCUGUCGAGAUUGAAUGUGCCAAAUGGCUUCAGUCAUCCAUCUUCUCUGGAGGCCUGCAGACCAGCCAGAUCCACUACAGCUACAACGAGGAGAAAGACGAGGACCACUGCAGCUCCCCAGGGGGCACACCUGCCAGCAAAUCUCGACUCUGCUCCCACAGACGGGCCCUGGGGGACCAUUCCCAGGCAUUUCUGCAAGCCAUUGCAGACAACAACAUUCAGGAUCACAACGUGAAGGACUUUUUGUGUCAAAUAGAAAGGUACUGUAGGCAGUGCCAUUUGACCACACCGAUCAUGUUUCCCCCCGAGCAUCCCGUGGAAGAGGUCGGUCGCUUGCUGUUAUGUUGCCUCUUAAAACAUGAAGAUUUAGGUCAUGUGGCAUUAUCUUUAGUUCAUGCAGGUGCACUUGGUAUUGAGCAAGUAAAGCACAGAACGUUGCCUAAGUCAGUGGUGGAUGUUUGUAGAGUUGUCUACCAAGCAAAAUGUUCGCUCAUUAAGACUCAUCAAGAACAGGGCCGUUCUUACAAGGAGGUCUGCGCUCCUGUCAUCGAACGUUUGAGAUUCCUCUUUAAUGAAUUGAGACCUGCUGUUUGUAAUGACCUCUCUAUAAUGUCUAAGUUUAAAUUGUUAAGUUCUUUGCCCCAUUGGAGGAGGAUAGCUCAGAAGAUAAUUCGAGAACCAAGGAAAAAGAGAGUUCCUAAGAAGCCAGAAUCUACGGAUGAUGAAGAAAAAAUUGGAAACGAAGAGAGUGAUUUAGAAGAAGCUUGCAUUUUGCCUCAUAGUCCAAUAAAUGUGGACAAGAGACCCAUUGCAAUUAAAUCACCCAAGGACAAAUGGCAGCCGCUGUUGAGUACUGUUACAGGUGUUCACAAAUACAAGUGGUUGAAGCAGAAUGUGCAGGGUCUUUAUCCGCAGUCUCCACUCCUCAGUACAAUUGCUGAAUUUGCCCUUAAAGAAGAGCCAGUGGAUGUGGAAAAGAGAAAGUGCCUACUAAAACAGUUGGAGAGAGCAGAGGUUCGCCUGGAAGGGAUAGAUACAAUUUUAAAAUUGUAUCUGGUGAGCAAGAAUUUCUUACUUCCAUCUGUGCCGUAUGCGAUGUUUUGUGGAUGGCAAAGACUUAUUCCUGAGGGAAUCGAUAUAGGGGAACCUCUUACUGAUUGUUUAAAGGAUGUUGAUUUGAUCCCGCCUUUUAAUCGGAUGCUGCUGGAAGUCACCUUUGGCAAGCUGUACGCUUGGGCUGUUCAGAACAUUCGAAAUGUUUUGGUGGAUGCCAGUGCCAAAUUUAAAGAGCUUGGUAUCCAGCCGGUUCCCCUGCAAACCAUCACCAAUGAGAACCCAUCGGGACCGAGCUUGGGGACCAUCCCGCAAGCCCACUUCCUCCUGGUGAUGCUCAGCAUGCUCACCCUGCAGCACAGCGCAAACAACCUUGACCUCCUGCUCAAUUCCGGCACGCUGGCCCUCGCUCAGACGGCACUGCGCCUGAUUGGCCCCAGUUGUGACAGCGUUGAGGAAGAUAUGAAUGCUUCUGCUCAAGGUGCUUCUGCCACAGUUUUGGAAGAAACAAGGAAGGAAACGGCUCCUGUGCAGCUCCCUGUUUCAGGGCCAGAACUGGCUGCCAUGAUGAAGAUUGGAACAAGGGUCAUGAGAGGUGUGGACUGGAAAUGGGGCGAUCAGGAUAGGCCUCCUCCAGGCCUAGGCCGAGUGAUUGGUGAGCUGGGAGAGGACGGGUGGAUAAGAGUCCAGUGGGACACAGGCAGCACCAACUCCUACAGGAUGGGGAAAGAAGGAAAUUACGACCUCAAGCUGGCAGAGCUGCCAGCCCCUGCACAGCCCUCAGCAGAGGAUUCGGACACAGAGGACGACUCUGAAGCCGAACAAACUGAAAGGAACAUUCACCCCACUGCAAUGAUGUUUACCAGCACUAUUAACUUACUGCAGACUCUUUGUCUGUCUGCUGGAGUUCAUGCUGAGAUCAUGCAGAGUGAAGCCACCAAGACUUUAUGCGGACUGCUGCAAAUGCUGGUGUACAGGGAGCAACACCGGAGCUGGUGCACGCUGGGGUUUGUGCAGAGCAUCGCUCUCACGCUGCAGGUGUGCGGCACCCUCAGCUCCCUGCAGUGGAUCACGCUGCUCAUGAAGGUCGUGGAAGGGCACGCACCCUUCACUGCCACCUCGCUGCAGAGGCAGAUCUUAGCUGUGCAUUUGUUGCAAGCAGUCCUUCCGUCAUGGGACAAGACCGAAAGGGCGAGGGACAUGAAAUGCCUCAUGGAGAAGCUGUUUGACUUCUUGGGGAGCUUGCUCACUAUGUGCUCCUCUGACGUGCCGUUACUCAGAGAGUCCACGCUGAGGCGGCGCAGGGUGUGCCCGCAGGCCUCGCUGACUGCCACCCACAGCAGCACACUGGCGGAGGAGGUGGUGGCACUGCUGCACACGCUGCACUCCCUGACUCAGUGGAAUGGGCUCAUCAACAAGUACAUCAACUCCCAGCUCCGCUCCAUCACCCACAGCUUUGCGGGAAGGCCUUCCAAAGGGGCCCAGUUAGAGGACUACUUCCCUGAUUCCGAGAACCCUGAAGUGGGGGGCCUCAUGGCGGUCCUGGCUGUGGUUGGAGGCAUCGAUGGUCGCCUGUGCCUGGGCGGCCAAGUUGUGCACGAUGACUUUGGAGAAGUCACCAUGACUCGCAUCACCCUGAAGGGCAAAAUCACCGUGCAGUUCUCUGACAUGCGGACGUGUCACGUUUGCCCAUUGAAUCAGCUGAAACCACUCCCUGCCGUGGCCUUUAAUGUGAACAACCUGCCCUUCACAGAGCCCAUGCUGUCUGUCUGGGCUCAGUUGGUGAACCUCGCUGGAAGCAAGUUAGAAAAGCACAAAAUAAAGAAAUCGACUAAACAGGCCUUUGCAGGACAAGUGGACCUGGACCUGCUGCGGUGCCAGCAGUUGAAGCUAUACAUCCUGAAAGCAGGUCGGGCGCUGUUCUCCCACCAGGAUAAACUGCGGCAGAUCCUGUCUCAGCCAGCUGUUCAGGAGACUGGAACUGUUCACACAGAUGAUGGAGCAGUGGUAUCACCUGACCUUGGGGACAUGUCUCCUGAAGGGCCGCAGCCCCCCAUGAUCCUCUUGCAGCAGCUGCUGGCCUCGGCCACCCAGCCGUCUCCUGUGAAGGCCAUAUUUGAUAAACAGGAACUUGAGCCCUUUAGAUUAUUUCUCCCUGUGACGCUAUCAAGCAGCCUGGGUUCAGUUUGACAGUUAAGCAUUGAGAUAUCUCUAUCACUACCCUGUCUCACUUUGCAAAAGGAAGAGAACUUCAAUGCUGUGCAGCAGGAAGGAUGCCAGGAAAAUUAGAUUUUAUUUUCAGCUCUGCUUCUCACCAGCUUGUGUGAUAUUGGGAAAUUUAUUCUUCUGCUCUGGAUCAGUUUUCAAUAUUUCAAAUAUGCGUGGACCUGUUUCCAAAGAGCUAAAAGACCUCCAGAGGUCCUCUCAUUAUUAAGAUAUGAUGAUGCUAAUAAAAGCGUAACAUCCGAAA